GAUAAGAAGUUAUCAAGGGCGUGCGGGGAAUGCCUAGGCUCUCGGAGGCGAAGAAGGACGCGAUAAGCUGCGAAAAGGUUCGGGGAUCUGCACAUAAGAGUUAAUCCGAACGUAUCCGAAUGGGACAACCCACUUGGUUGAAGACCAAGUAUCCUUAACAGGAGGCCAACCCGGUGAACUGAAACAUCUAAGUAACCGGAGGAAAAGAAAACAACAGUGAUUCCGCAAGUAGUGGCGAGCGAACGCGGAUUAGCCCAAACCAGUUCCGUUACGGCGGGAUUGGGGUUGUAGGACUGCUUUUUAGAAGUUGAUUGAAGUUGAACGAUCUGGGAAGGUCGGCCAGAGCAGGUGACAGCCCUGUAAGCGUAAAGGUCAACAACGUAGCAGUAUCCUGAGUAGGUGGGGACCGGUGAAAUCCCCUCUGAAUCUGGCGGCACCAUCCGCCAAGGCUAAAUACUCCCGAGAGACCGAUAGUGAACGAGUACCGUGAGGGAAAGGUGAAAAGUACCCCGAAUAGGGGGGUGAAAAGACCCUGAAACCGCACGCUUACAAGCGGUCGGAGCCACGUAGUGUGGUGACGGCGUGCCUUUUGCAUAAUGACCCUACGAGUUACGGUUACUGGCUAGGUUAAGUAUUGCAGAUACGGAGCCGAAGCGAAAGCGAGUCUGAAUAGGGCGAAGCAAGUCAGUGGCUGUAGACGCGAAACUUUGUGAUCUACCCAUGACCAGGUUGAAGUGUCGGUAACACGACAUGGAGGACCGAACCAGUUGACGUUGAAAAGUCUUUGGAUGAGUUGUGGGUAGGGGUGAAAGGCCAAUCAAACUGAGAGAUAGCUCGUACUCCCCGAAAUGUUUUUAGGAACAGCCUUGGGAUUGAGUUAUACGGAGGUAAAGCUACCGAUAGGACUAGGGGGAGUCAAAUCCUACCAAAUCCUGACGAACUCUGAAUGCCGUAUAAUAUGCCCAGGAGUGAGGGCUGGGGUGCUAAGGUCCCAGUCCGAGAGGGAAAGAACCCAGACCAUCCGCUAAGGCCCCUAAAUCAGGGCUAAGUUGAACAAAGGAGGUCCGACUGCAGAGACAGCCAGGAUGUUAGCUUGGAAGCAGCUAUUCAUUUAAAGAGUGCGUAACAGCUCACUGGUCGAGCGGGGCGGGCAUCGAUAAUAAACGGGCAUCAAGUCUUGUGCCGAAGCGAUGGAAGUAGUAAUACUUGGUAGGGGAGCAUUCUCAACGGCAGUGAAGGUGUGGCGGCAAGCCAUGCUGGAGCGUUGAGAAAAGCAAAUGUAGGGAUAAGUAACGAUAAGGAAGGUGAGAAACCUUCCCGCCGUAAGGAUCAGGAUUCCUCAGCUAUGCUAAUCAACUGAGGGUUAGUCGGGAGCUAAGGAGUUAGCGAAAGCGAAGCUUCGAUGCCCAGCAGGUUAAUAGUCCUGCACUUACACCAGUGCGAUGUAAUGACGGAGCAAAUGGGUUUCUACGUACGGACGGAAGUGUGCGUUGAGCCGAGCCCGCAAGGGCAAGGCGAAGAGAUGAGUUUGCUUCCAAGAAAAGUUACUAAGCUUCAGCUGGCUGUAACCCGUACCGCAAACCGACACAGGUAUCCGGGUAGAACAUACCAAGGCGCUCGAGUGAAUCACGGCUAAGGAACUCGGCAAAUUAACCCUGUAACUUCGGGAUAAGGGGAACCUACAGCAAUGUAGGUCGCAGAGAAAUGGCCCAGGCGACUGUUUAACAAAAACACAGGGCUUUGCUAAAACGAAAGUUGACGUAUAAGGCCUGACACCUGCCCGGUGCUGGAAGGUUAAGAGGGGAUGUUAGUCGCAAGGCGAAGCAUUGAAUCGAAGCCCCAGUAAACGGCGGCCGUAACUAUAACGGUCCUAAGGUAGCGAAAUUCCUUGUCGGGUAAGUUCCGACCUGCACGAAUGGUGUAACGAUCUGGGCACUGUCUCAGCCGUGAGCUCGGUGAAAUUGUAGUAGCGGUGAAGAUGCCGCUUACCCGCCACGGGACGGAAAGACCCCGUGAACCUUCACUACAGUUUUGCACUGACUUUUGGUAACUGGUGUGUAGGAUAGGUGGGAGGCUGUGAAGCGGUGUCGCUAGGCAUCGCAGAGCCAACGUUGAAAUACCACCCUCCGGUUGCUGGGAGUCUAACAUUAGCUUGGACAAUGCAUGAUGGGUAGUUUGACUGGGGUGGUCGCCUCCAAAAAAGUAUCGGAGGCUUUCAAAGGUACCCUCAGCACGCUUGGUAACCGUGCGUAGAGUGCAAUCGCAAAAGGGUGCUUGACUGUGAGGCAAACAGGCCGAGCAGGCACGAAAGUGGGAGAUAGUGAUCCGGCGGUUCCGUAUGGAAGGGCCGUCGCUCAAAGGAUAAAAGGUACUCCGGGGAUAACAGGCUGAUCUCCCCCAAGAGCUCACAUCGACGGGGAGGUUUGGCACCUCGAUGUCGGCUCGUCACAUCCUGGGGCUGGAGAAGGUCCCAAGGGUUCGGCUGUUCGCCGAUUAAAGUGGCACGCGAGCUGGGUUCAGAACGUCGUGAGACAGUUCGGUCCCUAUCUGUGGUGGGCGUUGGAAUUUUGAGAGGGCUUGACCUUAGUACGAGAGGACCGGGUUGAACCGACCGCUGGUAGACCAGUUGUUCCGCCAGGAGCACCGCUGGGUAGCCACGUCGGGUGAAGAUAAGCGCUGAAAGCAUCUAAGUGCGAAACUUGCCUCAAGAUGAGAAUUCCUAUGAGAGCCGUCAGAGACGAUGACGUUGAUAGGCUACCGGUCUAAAGCGAGUGAUCGCAAAGCCAAGUAGUACUAAUGCCUCCAAGACUUCUUAUU
Molecule: ribosomal RNA, 2817 nt
Filed under: Siphonobacter sp. BAB-5405
Lineage: Bacteria; Pseudomonadati; Bacteroidota; Cytophagia; Cytophagales; Cytophagaceae
Description: bacterial LSU rRNA
Rfam family: Bacterial large subunit ribosomal RNA
Source: RNAcentral